UUUCAAUCAAAUUCACAAAUAAGAAUUGAAACAUGAGUAAAAUACUUGAAAUUUGUGUGAAAUUUCUAUGAAAUUGAAAUAACUUGUUAGCUCUCAACAAUUUCAAAGUAUUUCAGUAAAAUCCGUAAAUAAGCACCUGAAAUGAGUGAAACAAUAGAAACAUGUAUCAAAUUAUUUUACUCACAUUUCAACAUAAUUCACAAAUAAGCACUGAAAUGUGAGUUAAAUAGUUGGCAUUCAUGUGAAAUGACUAUAAGAUUGAAAUAAUUUGCCAGCUUUCAACAACGUCAGCUUAUUCGGUCAAUUUGAUAAAUGAGCACUAGAAAUGUGUGAAAUGACUGAAAUGUAAAUGCGUUUGUGAAAUUUGUAUAAAGUGUUGCAAAAAUCGUGUGAACUAAGAUAAUUUUAUACUUGUGAAACAUGCAUGUGGAAAGUUUUCUAUGAUUGGUUGAAAUAUUACUAAAAUGGUUAAGAUAUGUGUUAAUAUUUAUCAAUAUUAUUUGAAAACUUGAAAUUGAGGAAAUAAUAUUUGAAAGUACAUAAAUGGACUUAAUAUUCAAAAGUGUUAAAUAUGUGUCAAAUAAUUGCUUGAAAUGUGUCUGAAAUGUUAAAUAUUCAAAAGUAUUUUUUUGUAAUUGAUUGAAAGAUAACUAAAAUGAUUAAAGAUAUGUGUGAAUAUUUAUGAAUAAUAUUUGAAAAACUGAAAUUGAGUGAAAUAACAUAAUUUUUUUAAACACAGGCAAAAGAUUUGUCUCAUCCAUGGAUUAAAGCAGAAGAGAGUUGCCCGGUUAAUUUACGAAAAACUGGGCUAAAACCGUCACAAACUGCCGAGCGGCACACACAUGAUACCUCACACACACCUCAACACAGAGGAUCUCGUUAAGAUAACACUAUGGUAUCAUCGUCAUCAUUUCUUCCCAAUUGACGUCGUCGCCCUCCUUAAUCUUCAAGCAAGAGACUCCAAGCCGAAGACGAACGUCGACCCAAUCUUCACCGUACAGGAUGGGAACACAACAAGACCCGCGCCAGCUUCAGCCACCGGCACGGAGGGCAAAAUAGCUCCAACUCUGAUGGAGAAUUCCGAAGGAGAAAUAUGCAAGGUUGACACCACGGAGAACCACCUGCCGCCUAUCAUCACCACCACAGGGGCCCCGUGCCCGUAGCUCCGACUUCAUCACAGCAAA
RNAcentral lists this long non-coding RNA (1184 nucleotides) under Triticum aestivum (bread wheat). RNAcentral describes it as "long non-coding RNA (TAES_LNC017038)". Lineage: Eukaryota; Viridiplantae; Streptophyta; Magnoliopsida; Poales; Poaceae. The record is from RNAcentral.